Molecule: transfer RNA, 131 nt
Filed under: Cordyceps fumosorosea ARSEF 2679
Lineage: Eukaryota; Fungi; Ascomycota; Sordariomycetes; Hypocreales; Cordycipitaceae
Description: Isaria fumosorosea ARSEF 2679 tRNA
Rfam family: tRNA
About the family: Transfer RNA (tRNA) molecules are approximately 80 nucleotides in length. Their secondary structure includes four short double-helical elements and three loops (D, anti-codon, and T loops).
Source: Rfam by way of RNAcentral
GCCUUCGUGGCGUAGCUGGUUAUCGCGUGAGUCUCAUACAACAAAAAUCACCGUCAAGGUGCUGGUUUCGUAUGACCUAGCCAACAGGCCGGGACAUCUCAAGGUCAUGAGUUCGAACCUCAUCGAGGGCA